Long non-coding RNA from Triticum dicoccoides, 242 nucleotides. RefSeq lists it as uncharacterized. The record is from RefSeq and is a predicted model, not a curated record. NCBI's taxonomy places the organism in Eukaryota, Viridiplantae, Streptophyta, Magnoliopsida, Poales, Poaceae. The transcript has 3 exons.
UUGCAGGGAAACAAUGAGAAACAUUGAGGUUUACAAUCAAGGUCCUGCUGUCAGAGGUUUUGACCCACUGUUCGACCCAUUUUGCAUAUGGGGAAAUGAGUUAUCCAUGAAUAUCAGUAAGUCAAGAAACUCACAAAGAUUGUUAGGAUAAAGAAAUUAGCGACAAAAAACAACAAGAUCUUUGUGUGCACAAUGAAGAAGACAUCAGUUCACUACAGGAUGGCCUUUUCAAAGCAGAUCAU